CGGGAGUCCGGGGAGCGGACAGGGAGUCGGGGACAGGGUUCGGAGGCAAGGGACUACAGGGAGGCAACGGACCAUGGUCUGCGGAAUUGGCGAGCUGCACCCUUGAAAUGAGGGAACAGAACAUGCCUUCCAAGGGCUCUCCUGUCCCCGUGGGAACGGAAGACAGGAAGUUGGGGCCUGGAGCUGCUGUCCUGGGCCACAGGAGGAAGUCACAGAUUAUGAGAUAGACAGCACCACGAAACUGCCACGAUGGGUCCCGUUUCUACUCUUGGGCUGUUGUGUGAAAGAGAAACUUCCUUUGUUUAAGCCACUUAACUUUGGAGUCUCUUACAGCAUCUUACCUGCCUAACCAGUAUGUUGAUACCAGGAUCUUCUGGGACUCCAGGAAACAAGAGAAAUCCUACGACGCAGGAUCCUCCUCAGCACCAUCUAACUCGGACUACGCUUAAAGUAAGAGUGGGAUGAUCAUGGGGAAAUAAUUCUGAUGUCAGGAAGCCAGUCCUGUUACUGACCACUAUUUAGCGCUGAGCUAUAAGUGAGAGAACUUGAGAUGUAAAUCCUUGGAGGUAGAAGUGGAUUUCCAAUGAAUAAACUAGGAAGAACUGA
Neogale vison (American mink) is the source of this 606-nucleotide long non-coding RNA. RefSeq lists it as uncharacterized. The transcript is spliced from 2 exons. NCBI's taxonomy places the organism in Eukaryota, Metazoa, Chordata, Mammalia, Carnivora, Mustelidae. The record is from RefSeq and is a predicted model, not a curated record.